Molecule: transfer RNA, 82 nt
Filed under: Dreissena polymorpha
Lineage: Eukaryota; Metazoa; Mollusca; Bivalvia; Myida; Dreissenidae
Description: transfer RNA serine (anticodon AGA)
Rfam family: tRNA
About the family: Transfer RNA (tRNA) molecules are approximately 80 nucleotides in length.
Source: Rfam by way of RNAcentral
GUUGUCGUGGCCGAGUGGUUAAGGCGAUAGACUAGAAAUGUUUUGAGAUCUUCCCGCGCAGGUUCGAAUCCUGCCGACAACG